This 253-nucleotide ribosomal RNA is filed under the name uncultured bacterium. RNAcentral's name for it is "partial 16S ribosomal RNA". It matches the Rfam family "Bacterial small subunit ribosomal RNA", at positions 524 to 776 of the family's 1533-position model. The record is from RNAcentral.
UACGUAGGGACCGAGCGUUGUCCGGAUUCAUUGGGCGUAAAGAGCUCGUAGGCGGCUGUUCAAGUCGAACGUGAAAACUCGGAGCUCAACUCCGAGCCUGCGUUCGAUACUGGACGGCUAGAGUCUGGUAGGGGGAUCUGGAAUUCCUGGUGUAGCGGUGGAAUGCGCAGAUAUCAGGAGGAACACCGGUGGCGAAGGCGGGAUCCUGGGCCAGUACUGACGCUGAGGAGCGAAAGCGCGGGGAGCAAACAGG